GACCACGUAGCUCAGUUGGCAGAGCAUUGGACUAGUAUUCCAAAGGUCGUAGGUUCGAUUCCCACCGUGGUCA
Paramuricea clavata is the source of this 73-nucleotide non-coding RNA. The record is from the annotation of a GenBank genome assembly. NCBI's taxonomy places the organism in Eukaryota, Metazoa, Cnidaria, Anthozoa, Malacalcyonacea, Plexauridae.